AAUGCACCUCUCCCCGAUAAAAAAAAAAAGAGCCCUUCCUCAUUUUCUUCUCCCUGUUGAAACUCCACAGGUGAACCCUGCUACUCCUCUGCUAGAUUCGUCUGCUACCUCCAACAAGAUUCACCCUUCCUCAACCUCGUGAUCACUGAGGUAAAUCCUGUGAACCCUAUGGGAGAUUCGCCUUCUUACAGAGAUUCAUCCUUGCCGCUGAUCAGUGACCUAAAUGCUUGAAAGAGUGGGUUUUUACCUCACCCUUGAAGAUUAUACAAAAGUCGCAAAAUCAAACGACUUCUACCCCAGAUCUUCCUUCGUAAUCGAUCACUAAAACUCAGGCAGUCUAGUUGAAGGUUCGGGUCCUUCACCCACAAGCGAUUAGCUCCUCUGCAAGCGUCCAAGAAAAUUAAUGCUAUUACUUACUUCCAUCGACCUUCAUUCUUCAAUUCGAUAGCAGCAACAGUGUGUGGAUAGGCUGCAAAGGGAGAAAUCAAGAGGAUUUUUCGAUUUUGGGCUUACUCAGGGUAAGGGAAGAAGUAUGGUAGUGAUCCCAUAAUCGAUUGUUC
Macadamia integrifolia is the source of this 560-nucleotide long non-coding RNA. RefSeq lists it as uncharacterized. The transcript is spliced from 3 exons. The record is from RefSeq and is a predicted model, not a curated record. NCBI's taxonomy places the organism in Eukaryota, Viridiplantae, Streptophyta, Magnoliopsida, Proteales, Proteaceae.